GACGAACGCUGGCGGCGUGCUUAACACAUGCAAGUCGAACGGAAAGGCCCUGCUUUUGUGGGGUGCUCGAGUGGCGAACGGGUGAGUAACACGUGAGUAACCUGCCCUUGACUUUGGGAUAACUUCAGGAAACUGGGGCUAAUACCGGAUAGGAGCUCCUGCUGCAUGGUGGGGGUUGGAAAGUUUCGGCGGUUGGGGAUGGACUCGCGGCUUAUCAGCUUGUUGGUGGGGUAGUGGCUUACCAAGGCUUUGACGGGUAGCCGGCCUGAGAGGGUGACCGGCCACAUUGGGACUGAGAUACGGCCCAGACUCCUACGGGAGGCAGCAGUAGGGAAUAUUGGACAAUGGUUGCAAGACUGAUCCAGCCAUGCCGCGUGCAGGAAGAAGGCCUUCUGGGUCGUAAACUGCUUUUUCCUGUGGAUAAAAUACCCGUGCGCGGGGAAUUGAAGGUAACAGGGGAAUAAGCCACGGCUAACUACGUG
This 482-nucleotide ribosomal RNA is filed under the name uncultured bacterium. RNAcentral's name for it is "partial 16S ribosomal RNA". It matches the Rfam family "Bacterial small subunit ribosomal RNA", at positions 28 to 507 of the family's 1533-position model. The record is from RNAcentral.